UGAGCAAUCUGCCCUUCUCAUCGGAAUAAGCGUUGGAAACGACGUCUAAUGCCGAAUACGACCUCCUUUCGCAUGAUCGGAGGUGGAAAGCUCCGGCGGAGAAGGAUGAGCUCGCGGCCUAUCAGCUUGUUGGUGAGGUAAUAGCUCACCAAGACGAUGACGGGUAGCCGGCCUGAGAGGGUGACCGGCCACACUGGGACUGAGACACGGCCCAGACCUCUACGGGA
Molecule: ribosomal RNA, 227 nt
Filed under: uncultured bacterium
Lineage: Bacteria
Description: partial 16S ribosomal RNA
Rfam family: Bacterial small subunit ribosomal RNA
Source: RNAcentral